This 466-nucleotide ribosomal RNA is filed under the name uncultured microorganism. RNAcentral's name for it is "bacterial SSU rRNA". It matches the Rfam family "Bacterial small subunit ribosomal RNA", at positions 9 to 521 of the family's 1533-position model. The record is from RNAcentral.
GAGUUUGAUCGUGGCUCAGAGCGAACGCUGGCGGCAGGCUUAACACAUGCAAGUCGAGCGGGCGUAGCAAUACGUCAGCGGCAGACGGGUGAGUAACACGCGGGAACGUACCUUUUGGUUCGGAACAACUGAGGGAAACUUCAGCUAAUACCGGAUAAGCCCUAACGGGGAAAGAUUUAUCGCCGAAAGAUCGGCCCGCGUCUGAUUAGCUAGUUGGUGAGGUAAUGGCUCACCAAGGCGACGAUCAGUAGCUGGUCUGAGAGGAUGAUCAGCCACACUGGGACUGAGACACGGCCCAGACUCCUACGGGAGGCAGCAGUGGGGAAUAUUGGACAAUGGGGCGAACCCUGAUCCAGCCAUGCCGCGUGAGUGAUGAAGGCCCUAGGGUUGUAAAGCUCUUUGUGCGGAAGAUAAUGACGGUACCGCAAGAAUAAGCCCCGACUAACUUCGUGCCAGCCGCCGCCGU